This 1347-nucleotide ribosomal RNA is filed under the name uncultured bacterium. RNAcentral describes it as "bacterial SSU rRNA". It matches the Rfam family "Bacterial small subunit ribosomal RNA", at positions 28 to 1381 of the family's 1533-position model. The record is from RNAcentral.
GACGAACUUUGGCGGCGUGCUUAACACAUGCAAGUCGAACGGAAAGGCCCUGCUUUUGUGGGGUGCUCGAGUGGCGAACGGGUGAGUAACACGUGAGUAACCUGCCCUUGACUUUGGGAUAACUUCAGGAAACUGGGGCUAAUACCGGAUAGGAGCUCCUGCUGCAUGGUGGGGGUUGGAAAGUUUCGGCGGUUGGGGAUGGACUCGCGGCUUAUCAGCUUGUUGGUUGGGUAGUGGCUUACCAAGGCUUUGACGGGUAGCCGGCCUGAGAGGGUGACCGGCCACAUUGGGACUGAGAUACGGCCCAGACUCCUACGGGAGGCAGCAGUGGGGAAUAUUGCACAAUGGGCGGAAGCCUGAUGCAGCAACGCCGCGUGCGGGAUGACGGCCUUCGGGUUGUAAACCGCUUUCGCCUGUGACGAAGCGUGAGUGACGGUAAUGGGUAAAGAAGCACCGGCUAACUACGUGCCAGCAGCCGCGGUGAUACGUAGGGUGCGAGCGUUGUCCGGAUUUAUUGGGCGUAAAGGGCUCGUAGGUGGUUGAUCGCGUCGGAAGUGUAAUCUUGGGGCUUAACCCUGAGCGUGCUUUCGAUACGGGUUGACUUGAGGAAGGUAGGGGAGAAUGGAAUUCCUGGUGGAGCGGUGGAAUGCGCAGAUAUCAGGAGGAACACCAGUGGCGAAGGCGGUUCUCUGGGCCUUUCCUGACGCUGAGGAGCGAAAGCGUGGGGAGCGAACAGGCUUAGAUACCCUGGUAGUCCACGCUGUAAACGGUGGGUACUAGGUGUGGGGUCCAUUCCACGGGUUCCGUGCCGUAGCUAACGCUUUAAGUACCCCGCCUGGGGAGUACGGCCGCAAGGCUAAAACUCAAAGGAAUUGACGGGGCCCCGCACAAGCGGCGGAGCAUGCGGAUUAAUUCGAUGCAACGCGUAGAACCUUACCUGGGUUUGACAUGGAUCGGGAGUGCUCAGAGAUGGGUGUGCCUCUUUUGGGGUCGGUUCACAGGUGGUGCAUGCCUGUCGUCAGCUCGUGUCGUGAGAUGUUGGGUUAAGUCCCGCAACGAGCGCAACCCUUGUUCACUGUUGCCAGCACGUUAUGGUGGGGACUCAGUGGAGACCGCCGGGGUCAACUCGGAGGAAGGUGGGGAUGACGUCAAGUCCUCAUGCCCCUUAUGUCCAGGGCUUCACGCAUGCUACAAUGGCUGGUACAGAGAGUGGCGAGCCUGUGAGGGUGAGCGAAUCUCGGAAAGCCGGUCUCAGUUCGGAUUGGGGUCUGCAACUCGACCUCAUGAAGUCGGAGUCGCUAGUAAUCGCAAAAGAGCAACCGCGGCGGUGAAUACGUUCCCGGGGCU